CCCUUUGGGGUGUGACUGCGUACCUUUUGUAUAAUGGGUCAGCGACUUAUAUUCUGUAGCAAGGUUAACCGAAUAGGGGAGCCGGAGGGAAACCGAGUCUUAACCGGGCGUUAAGUUGCAGGGUAUAGACCCGAAACCCGGUGAUCUAGCCAUGGGCAGGUUGAAGGUUGGGUAACACUAACUGGAGGACCGAACCGACUAAUGUUGAAAAAUUAGCGGAUGACCUGUGGCUGGGGGUGAAAGGCCAAUCAAACCGGGAGAUAGCUGGUUCUCCCCGAAAGCUAUUUAGGUAGCGCCUCGUGAAUUCAUCUCCGGGGGUAGAGCACUGUUUCGGCUAGGGGGCCAUCCCGGCUUACCAACCCGAUGCAAACUGCGAAUACCGGAGAAUGUUAUCACGGGAGACACACGGCGGGUGCUAACGUCCGUCGUGAAGAGGGAAACAACCCAGACCGCCAGCUAAGGUCCCAAAGUCAUGGUUAAGUGGGAAACGAUGUGGGAAGGCCCAGACAGCCAGGAUGUUGGCUUAGAAGCAGCCAUCAUUUAAAGAAAGCGUAAUAGCUCACUGGUCGAGUCGGCCUGCGCGGAAGAUGUAACGGGGCUAAACCAUGCACCGAAGCUGCGGCAGCGAACGUAUCACUUAAAGCGAUUCAGCGGGUUACGAUUGACGGAGCGAAGCGACGUCAAAGCGUAUACAAAGUCGAGUCGGUUUAAGGAUACGUUCGUUGGGUAGGGGAGCGUUCUGUAAGCCUGCGAAGGUGGCCUGUGAGGGUUGCUGGAGGUAUCAGAAGUGCGAAUGCUGACAUAAGUAACGAUAAAGCGGGUGAAAAGCCCGCUCGCCGGAAGACCAAGGGUUCCUGUCCAACGUUAAUCGGGGCAGGGUGAGUCGACCCCUAAGGCGAGGCCGAAAGGCGUAGUCGAUGGGAAACGGGUUAAUAUUCCCGUACUUGGUGUUACUGCGAAGGGGGGACGGAGAAGGCUAUGUUGGCCGGGCGACGGUUGUCCCGGUUUAAGCGUGUAGGUGUGUGUUCCAGGUAAAUCCGGUUCACUUUAACACUGAGGCGUGAUGACGAGGCACUACGGUGCUGAAGCAACAAAUGCCCUGCUUCCAGGAAAAGCCUCUAAGCAUCAGGUAACAUCAAAUCGUACCCCAAACCGACACAGGUGGUCAGGUAGAGAAUACCAAGGCGCUUGAGAGAACUCGGGUGAAGGAACUAGGCAAAAUGGUGCCGUAACUUCGGGAGAAGGCACGCUGACAUGUAGGUGAAGUGAUUUACUCACGGAGCUGAAGUCAGUCGAAGAUACCAGCUGGCUGCAACUGUUUAUUAAAAACACAGCACUGUGCAAACACGAAAGUGGACGUAUACGGUGUGACGCCUGCCCGGUGCCGGAAGGUUAAUUGAUGGGGUCAGCGCAAGCGAAGCUCCUGAUCGAAGCCCCGGUAAACGGCGGCCGUAACUAUAACGGUCCUAAGGUAGCGAAAUUCCUUGUCGGGUAAGUUCCGACCUGCACGAAUGGCGUAAUGAUGGCCAGGCUGUCUCCACCCGAGACUCAGUGAAAUUGAACUCGCUGUGAAGAUGCAGUGUACCCGCGGCAAGACGGAAAGACCCCGUGAACCUUUACUAUAGCUUGACACUGAACAUUGAGCCUUGAUGUGUAG
This 1657-nucleotide ribosomal RNA is filed under the name Salmonella enterica. Its description in RNAcentral is "partial 23S ribosomal RNA". It matches the Rfam family "Bacterial large subunit ribosomal RNA", at positions 582 to 2141 of the family's 2925-position model. Lineage: Bacteria; Pseudomonadati; Pseudomonadota; Gammaproteobacteria; Enterobacterales; Enterobacteriaceae. The record is from RNAcentral.